GUUAAAUAAAUUUAAAAAGCUAAUUACCUUUAAUUUGAACCUCUGGGCCCCAAUUGUUAGCUCCCCAUUAAAAAUAAACAGCUUGAGACAAAUAUGUACAUUUCUCAAGCCAUUUUGUGAAUAGGAGGCUACUAACUGGCUUAGAAAAUCAGUUGACACUCUCCAAUCAGCAGCACCCCCGUCAGUGGCAUUCCAAGGCUUCCUGUUUGAAAAAUCUCAGAAAAGCAGAAGGAGAAGUCUAAGGCUCAACAGUGCUUGAGACAAGACUUUGGAGCUAAACCAGUUGUAAAUGGUUUAACCCAAAAGAUAAGCUGGCACCAGGGACCUCC
Pelobates cultripes (western spadefoot toad) is the source of this 329-nucleotide non-coding RNA. NCBI's taxonomy places the organism in Eukaryota, Metazoa, Chordata, Amphibia, Anura, Pelobatidae. The record is from the annotation of a GenBank genome assembly.